AUCCUGGCUCAGAUUGAACGCUGGCGGCAUGUCUUACACAUGCAAGUCGAACGGUAACGCGGGGCAACCUGGCGACGAGUGGCGAACGGGUGAGUAAUGCAUCGGAACGUACCCAGUAGUGGGGGAUAGCCCGGCGAAAGCCGGAUUAAUACCGCAUACGACCUAAGGGUGAAAGCGGGGGACCGUAAGGCCUCGCGCUAUUGGAGCGGCCGAUGUCAGAUUAGGUAGUUGGUGGGGUAAAGGCCUACCAAGCCUUCGAUCUGUAGCUGGUCUGAGAGGACGACCAGCCACACUGGGACUGAGACACGGCCCAGACUCCUACGGGAGGCAGCAGUGGGGAAUUUUGGACAAUGGGCGAAGGCCUGAUCCAGCCAUGCCGCGUGCGGGAAGAAGGCCUUCGGGUUGUAAACCGCUUUUGUCAGGGAAGAAACGCUCUGGGCUAAUACCCUGGGGUAAUGACGGUACCUGAAGAAUAAGCACCGGCUAACUACGUG
This 494-nucleotide ribosomal RNA is filed under the name uncultured bacterium. RNAcentral describes it as "bacterial SSU rRNA". It matches the Rfam family "Bacterial small subunit ribosomal RNA", at positions 16 to 507 of the family's 1533-position model. The record is from RNAcentral.